AGGGUUCGAUUCUGGCUCAGGAUGAACGCUAGCUACAGGCUUAACACAUGCAAGUCGAGGGGCAUCAUGGAGUUUGCUUGCAAACUCUGAUGGCGACCGGCGCACGGGUGAGUAACGCGUAUCCAACCUUCCCUAUAGUAGAGGAUAGCCCGGCGAAAGUCGGAUUAAUACUCUAUGUUUUCCGUUGCAGACAUCUAAGAUGGAACAAAGGCUUGCCGCUAUAGGAUGGGGGAUGCGUCUGAUUAGGUAGUCGGCGGGGUAACGGCCCACCGAGCCUUCGAUCAGUAGGGGUUCUGAGAGGAAGGUCCCCCACAUUGGAACUGAGACACGGUCCAAACUCCUACGGGAGGCAGCAGUGAGGAAUAUUGGUCAAUGGGCGCGAGCCUGAACCAGCCAAGUAGCCGUGCAGGAUGACGGCCCUAUGGGUUGUAAACUGCUUUUAUGCGGGGAUAAAGUUCACUACGUGUAGUGUUUUGUAGGUACCGCAUGAAUAAGGACCGGCUAAUUCCGUGCCAGCCGCGGC
This 523-nucleotide ribosomal RNA is filed under the name uncultured bacterium. Its description in RNAcentral is "bacterial SSU rRNA". It matches the Rfam family "Bacterial small subunit ribosomal RNA", at positions 8 to 518 of the family's 1533-position model. The record is from RNAcentral.